AUGCCCCGGGUCAAGAGAGGAGAGCCCCUUGCCAGAGGAAUCGCUUGGAUCUUGAGAACUGGCAAGAAGGACGCCUAUCUGGAGGGAGAGCUCCGCAGCAAAUGGGAAGAGUGGAGGGCAGAGUGGUGUUGGAUCGUCGAGGAGAACCCGCAGCCUUUCACUGCCUUGCGCCAAGCCCCAGUAGUGCGCGGCAAUGAUUGGAGCAAUGUGGCCCCGGAGGACGACAGGCUAAAGAUUGCCGUCACCCGGAUCCUUCGCCUCAGGCUUGCCGGGCUCACUGUAGGCGCAGUUGGCGCAGACUUUCUUCGCUGCCGCAUCGCCCCCCUGCAGGAGAGGAGGAGACCAGCCUGGGAGUUCCAAAACUCGGCGGAUAUCAUGAGGCUGCGCCCGGGCCUCAAUUUCAACUUCACGGUCUAG
RNAcentral lists this ribosomal RNA (417 nucleotides) under Triticum aestivum (bread wheat). Its description in RNAcentral is "partial small subunit ribosomal RNA". The record is from RNAcentral. Lineage: Eukaryota; Viridiplantae; Streptophyta; Magnoliopsida; Poales; Poaceae.